RNAcentral lists this ribosomal RNA (494 nucleotides) under uncultured bacterium. RNAcentral's name for it is "partial 16S ribosomal RNA". It matches the Rfam family "Bacterial small subunit ribosomal RNA", at positions 28 to 507 of the family's 1533-position model. The record is from RNAcentral.
GACGAACGCUGGCGGCGUGCUUAACACAUGCAAGUCGAACGGUUAAUCGCCUUCCGUUUUUUGGGGUGUGGAUGGGUGGCGAACGGGUGAGGAACACGUAAGUAACCUGCCCCCUUCUUCUGGAUAACCGCAUGAAAGUGGAGCUAAUACGGGAUAUUCUGGGUCUGUCUCAUGAUGGGUCUGGGAGAGAGAUUGUUUCGGUGGGGGAUGUGCUCGCGGCCUAUUAGCUUGUUGGUGUGGUGAGGGCCUACCAAGGCGGUGACGGGUGGCCGGCCUGGGAGGGUGGCCGGUCCGAGAGGGAGUGACGCACCGGACUGCCACGUAAGGGAGGAAGCAGGGGGGAAUAGCGAACGAUGGGAGUCAGACUGAUGAAGCGCCGCCGAGUGAGGGAUGGAGGCCUUCGGGUUGUCACCCUCUUUCGCCAGUGAAGCAGGCCUGCCUCGUUUGUGGGUGGGUUGACGGUAGCUGGACAAGAAGCGCCGGCUAACUACGUG